UACGUAGGUGGCGAGCGUUGUCCGGAUUUACUGGGCGUAAAGAGCGCGCAGGCGGUCGUACAAGUCGCGUGUGAAAGCCCCUGGCUCAACUGGGGAGGGUCACGCGAUACUGUUCGACUCGAAGGCAGGAGAGGGAAGUGGAAUUCCCGGUGUAGUGGUGAAAUGCGUAGAUAUCGGGAGGAACACCAGUGGCGAAGGCGGGUCUCUGGGCCGAUACUGACGCUGAGGAGCGAAAGCGUGGGGAGCGAAUGGG
Molecule: ribosomal RNA, 253 nt
Filed under: uncultured bacterium
Lineage: Bacteria
Description: partial 16S ribosomal RNA
Rfam family: Bacterial small subunit ribosomal RNA
Source: RNAcentral